CACUGACAUUAGAUACCCGGGUAGUCCUAGCCGUAAACGAUACUCGCUAGGUGUCGGCCACGGUGCGACCGUUGUCGGUGCCGUAGGGAAGCCGUGAAGCGAGCCACCUGGGAAGUACGGCCGCAAGGCUGAAACUUAAAGGAAUUGGCGGGGGAGCACCACAACGGGUGGAGCUUGCGGUUUAAUUGGAUUCAACGCCGGAAAUCUUACCGGGACCGACAGCAACAUGAAGGCCAAGCUGAAGACUUUGCCGGAUUAGCUG
RNAcentral lists this ribosomal RNA (262 nucleotides) under uncultured archaeon. Its description in RNAcentral is "partial 16S ribosomal RNA". It matches the Rfam family "Archaeal small subunit ribosomal RNA", at positions 722 to 982 of the family's 1478-position model. The record is from RNAcentral.